Molecule: ribosomal RNA, 1343 nt
Filed under: uncultured bacterium
Lineage: Bacteria
Description: 16S ribosomal RNA
Rfam family: Bacterial small subunit ribosomal RNA
Source: RNAcentral
GACGAACGCUGGCGGCGUGCUUAACACAUGCAAGUCGAACGGAAAGGCCCUGCUUUUGUGGGGUGCUCGAGUGGCGAACGGGUGAGUAACACAUGAGUAACCUGCCCUUGACUUUGGGAUAACUUCAGGAAACUGGGGCUAAUACCGGAUAGGAGCUCCUGCUGCAUGGUGGGGGUUGGAAAGUUUCGGCGGUUGGGGAUGGACUCGCGGCUUAUCAGCUUGUUGGUGGGGUAGUGGCUUACCAAGGCUUUGACGGGUAGCCGGCCUGAGAGGGUGACCGGCCACAUUGGGACUGAGAUACGGCCCAGACUCCUACGGGAGGCAGCAGUGGGGAAUAUUGCACAAUGGGCGGAAGCCUGAUGCAGCAACGCCGCGUGCGGGAUGACGGCCUUCGGGUUGUAAACCGCUUUCGCCUGUGACGAAGCGUGAGUGACGGUAAUGGGUAAAGAAGCACCGGCUAACUACGUGCCAGCAGCCGCGGUGAUACGUAGGGUGCGAGCGUUGUCCGGAUUUAUUGGGCGUAAAGGGCUCGUAGGUGGUUGAUCGCGUCGGAAGUGUAAUCUUGGGGCUUAACCCUGAGCGUGCUUUCGAUACGGGUUGACUUGAGGAAGGUAGGGGAGAAUGGAAUUCCUGGUGGAGCGGUGGAAUGCGCAGAUAUCAGGAGGAACACCAGUGGCGAAGGCGGUUCUCUGGGCCUUUCCUGACGCUGAGGAGCGAAAGCGUGGGGAGCGAACAGGCUUAGAUACCCUGGUAGUCCACGCUGUAAACGGUGGGUACUAGGUGUGGGGUCCAUUCCACGGGUUCCGUGCCGUAGCUAACGCUUUAAGUACCCCGCCUGGGGAGUACGGCCGCAAGGCUAAAACUCAAAGGAAUUGACGGGGCCCCGCACAAGCGGCGGAGCAUGCGGAUUAAUUCGAUGCAACGCGUAGAACCUUACCUGGGUUUGACAUGGAUCGGGAGCGCUCAGAGAUGGGUGUGCCUCUUUUGGGGUCGGUUCACAGGUGGUGCAUGGCUGUCGUCAGCUCGUGUCGUGAGAUGUUGGGUUAAGUCCCGCAACGAGCGCAACCCUUGUUCACUGUUGCCAGCACGUUAUGGUGGGGACUCAGUGGAGACCGCCGGGGUCAACUCGGAGGAAGGUGGGGAUGACGUCAAGUCAUCAUGCCCCUUAUGUCCAGGGCUUCACGCAUGCUACAAUGGCUGGUACAGAGAGUGGCGAGCCUGUGAGGGUGAGCGAAUCUCGGAAAGCCGGUCUCAGUUCGGAUUGGGGUCUGCAACUCGACCUCAUGAAGUCGGAGUCGCUAGUAAUCGCAGAUCAGCAACGCUGCGGUGAAUACGUUCCCGGG